CAGUCGCCGCGGGAAUACGGAGGGUGCAAGCGUUAAUCGGAAUUACUGGGCGUAAAGCGCACGCAGGCGGUUUGUUAAGUCAGAUGUGAAAUCCCCGGGCUCAACCUGGGAACUGCAUUUGAAACUGGCAAGCUAGAGUCUCGUAGAGGGGGGUAGAAUUCCAGGUGUAGCGGUGAAAUGCGUAGAGAUCUGGAGGAAUACCGGUGGCGAAGGCGGCCCCCUGGACGAAGACUGACGCUCAGGUGCGAAAGCGUGGGGAGCAAACAGGAUUAGAUACCCGAGUAGUCCCUGUCUCUUAUAC
Molecule: ribosomal RNA, 301 nt
Filed under: uncultured bacterium
Lineage: Bacteria
Description: partial 16S ribosomal RNA
Rfam family: Bacterial small subunit ribosomal RNA
Source: RNAcentral